RNAcentral lists this ribosomal RNA (301 nucleotides) under uncultured bacterium. Its description in RNAcentral is "partial 16S ribosomal RNA". It matches the Rfam family "Bacterial small subunit ribosomal RNA", at positions 509 to 807 of the family's 1533-position model. The record is from RNAcentral.
CAGCAGCCGUGGUAAUACGAAGGGUGCAAGCGUUACUCGGAAUUACUGGGCGUAAAGCGUGCGUAGGUGGUGGUUUAAGUCCGUUGUGAAAGCCCUGGGCUCAACCUGGGAAUUGCAGUGGAUACUGGGUCACUAGAGUGUGGUAGAGGAUAGUGGAAUUCCCGGUGUAGCGGUGAAAUGCGUAGAGAUCGGGAGGAACAUCAGUGGCGAAGGCGGCCAUCUGGGACAACACUGACGCUGAGGCACGAAAGCGUGGGGAGCAAACAGGAUUAGAUACCCCAGUAGUCCCUGUCUCUUAUAC